ACCCUACGCUGGCGGCGUGCUUAACACAUGCAAGUCGAACGGAAAGGCCCCUUCGGGGGUACUCGAGUGGCGAACGGGUGAGUAACACGUGGGUGAUCUGCCCUGCACUUUGGGAUAAGCCUGGGAAACUGGGUCUAAUACCGAAUAGGACCGCAUGCUUCAUGGUGUGUGGUGGAAAGCUUUUGCGGUGUGGGAUGGGCCCGCGGCCUAUCAGCUUGUUGGUGGGGUAAUGGCCUACCAAGGCGACGACGGGUAGCCGGCCUGAGAGGGUGUCCGGCCACACUGGGACUGAGAUACGGCCCAGACUCCUACGGGAGGCAGCAGUGGGGAAUAUUGCACAAUGGGCGCAAGCCUGAUGCAGCGACGCCGCGUGGGGGAUGACGGCCUUCGGGUUGUAAACCUCUUUCAGUAUCGGCGAAGCUCCAGGAUUUUUCUUGGGGUGACGGUAGGUACAGAAGAAGCACCGGCCAACUACGUGCCAGCAGCCGCGGUAAUACGUAGGGUGCGAGCGUUGUCCGGAAUUACUGGGCGUAAAGAGCUCGUAGGUGGUUUGUCACGUUGUCCGUGAAAACUCACAGCUUAACUGUGGGCGUGCGGGCGAUACGGGCAGACUGGAGUACUGUAGGGGAGACUGGAAUUCCUGGUGUAGCGGUGGAAUGCGCAGAUAUCAGGAGGAACACCGGUGGCGAAGGCGGGUCUCUGGGCAGUAACUGACGCUGAGGAGCGAAAGCGUGGGGAGCGAACAGGAUUAGAUACCCUGGUAGUCCACGCCGUAAACGGUGGGUACUAGGUGUGGGUUUCCUUCCUUUAGGGAUCCGUGCCGUAGCUAACGCAUUAAGUACCCCGCCUGGGGAGUACGGCCGCAAGGACAU
Molecule: ribosomal RNA, 872 nt
Filed under: Mycobacterium arupense
Lineage: Bacteria; Bacillati; Actinomycetota; Actinomycetes; Mycobacteriales; Mycobacteriaceae
Description: Mycolicibacter arupensis bacterial SSU rRNA
Rfam family: Bacterial small subunit ribosomal RNA
Source: RNAcentral